GCCUACGGCCAUGCCACCCUGAACAAGCCUGAUCCCAUCUGAUCUCGGAAGCUAAGCAGGGUCCAGCCUGGUUAGUACUUGGAUGGGAGACCACUUAGGAAGACCAGGUGCUGUAGGCA
Molecule: ribosomal RNA, 119 nt
Filed under: Pteropus alecto (black flying fox)
Lineage: Eukaryota; Metazoa; Chordata; Mammalia; Chiroptera; Pteropodidae
Source: RNAcentral